Callithrix jacchus (white-tufted-ear marmoset) is the source of this 119-nucleotide ribosomal RNA. NCBI's taxonomy places the organism in Eukaryota, Metazoa, Chordata, Mammalia, Primates, Cebidae. The record is from Ensembl.
AUCUACGGCCAUACCACCCUGAACGCGGCUGAUUUCAUCUAAUCUCGGAAGCUAAGCAGGGUCAGGCCUGGUUAGUACUUGGAUGGGAAACCGCCUGGCAGUAUCAGGUGCUGUAGGCU